CCAAAGGCUCUUUUCAGAGCCACCGCUCUUUUCAAUUUAAAGAGCUG
Molecule: regulatory RNA element, 47 nt
Organism: Felis catus (domestic cat)
Lineage: Eukaryota; Metazoa; Chordata; Mammalia; Carnivora; Felidae
Rfam family: Histone 3' UTR stem-loop
About the family: The mRNAs of metazoan histone genes lack a poly-A tail. 3' end processing occurs at a site between a highly conserved stem-loop (modelled by this family) and a purine rich region around 20 nts downstream (the histone downstream element, or HDE). The stem-loop is bound by a 31 kDa stem-loop binding protein (SLBP - also termed the histone hairpin binding protein, or HBP).
Source: Rfam